This 377-nucleotide long non-coding RNA is filed under the name Homo sapiens (human). RNAcentral describes it as "non-protein coding lnc-HAPLN1-2:3". The record is from RNAcentral. Lineage: Eukaryota; Metazoa; Chordata; Mammalia; Primates; Hominidae.
AAAGUGGGGUGGAGAAAAGCAGAGAAAGAAGACACAAAGACAGCCACAGCUGGAGCUCAGGAAAAGGAACCACGGAGGUGUGCAGGCACCAGACCCAUCCACUUUCAGAGAUGUGCUCCAAAACUCUACAGGAAAGAAGCUGCCCAGAACUGCAGAAUAACGUACUACCAAUUUCAGCACACUCUUUCCUUGCUAUGUCAGGGCCUGAGAACAAAAGCCAGCAUUUUCUACAGUCUUUAUGGAGCGACCAGCUUGUGGCAAGCUAAUACAGAACACAUGGCUUUAACACUCAGAAAGUUGAGUCUAAGGGAGGAGAUCAGAGCAGAGGCUUCUUAGCUAGGAGAUAAAAGUGUGAAAACAAACCUUUUGGUUGCAUU